Molecule: long non-coding RNA, 3860 nt
Filed under: Homo sapiens (human)
Lineage: Eukaryota; Metazoa; Chordata; Mammalia; Primates; Hominidae
Description: non-protein coding PSMG3-AS1:31
Source: RNAcentral
UCCGUCCACCUUCCGGAAGUCAGGGCCGCGGCGCUUCUGGUCCCGGAGACUUGGGGCUCCCGGGCUUCUGAGCGGCUCGGGUUCCGCGCUGCCGGCAGGGCUUGGGGGCGCCUUAGAGCCGAACCCCGUUUUUUCAGGAAAGGGCGCUGCGACCACCCCCGUCCCGGGCCUCAGCCCCUCUGCUGCAGACCCUCGGGAUCGUCGCUGGUAGGAGCUCUGUCCCCCGUGUCUGUGUCCAGGACCCCCGAAGCGCCGCGCCUAGGAACCCCCUAGCGCUGGGAGCCCGGCCCUGCUCGACCACGGGCUUUGGGCUGGAGGCGUCAUCGUCGCCACAGCGAACGCUUAUUUGGCACCGAGUGUCCGCCAGGCAUCGCUCUAAGCGCUUUAUACCCAUAACUCACUUCAUCUCAGCCACCCGGUUCCGUAGAAGCGUUUCAUCCGCGUUUUACAGACGUGUGCAGGAAAGAUUCUGAAGCUUGGCGGAGAGGGGUGUGUGAGUGGACACCAGUGAAGUAACGGUUUUUGUGUUACGAUGAUUUCUGUUUUCCUCUGCUGCCCUGUAAUGGCAGGAACUCGGAUAGUCUGGUCUUCAGACCAGGAGGACUCCCAGGAGAGAACGGAGAGCCAGUGUGCUGUGUGUCACGGUCCCUGGAUGAACGUUUGUGGAACUGGAUUGAAUUAAACAAGACGUGCAAAGCAAGUGGUUCACGAGAUUCGAUUGCUGUAGGGACCCCGUGGGUGUGGAAUCAGACAGUAUUGGUCCUUUCAUGACUGGCUUAUUUCACAAAACCCGAUGCCGUCGAGGUCCAUCCAUGCUGAGAUAUUUACGGAGCAUCCCCAGCUGCUGGAUGCUGGGACCCACCAGUGGGCAAGAGGGCCGUGCCCACCCCUUCCUGGAAGAGACACUCACUCAGUAAAUGCAGAGAUUCAGUGUUGGGGUAACCCCAGCACACAGCCCUGAGGGAGGAAGCCCAGUGAUUUGAUCGGAUUUGCUUUUCUCUUCUGCCUCGGAUUCUGUCCAACCCCUGGAAGGACCUCUGAGGUGUCCCGUGGCUGGUUCUAGGCCCCAUUCAAGCCUCCUCCUCCAGGAAGCCUUCCCAGUCCUGGGCAUCUGUAGCCAGCUCGGUGUUUCUCACCUGGGGCCUGGGACGUCUCCCAUUCUGAACUGCCGUGUUUUGGGUUUACUGUUCUCUGGCUUUUGGUCCCAGCCGGACGGUGGCCUCUUGUGUUCAGGGACAAGGCAAGGAGCAUCCAUGCACCCCCACAGUACCCAGGCUGGGUCUGUGCCCGCCAGGCCCCCGGCAAAGCUUGGAUGAUCCGGGCUGGGCUGUUCUCCUGCUGCUCUCCUGCUGCUGGCCUCGCUGUAUCAGCUGAUGGCCAUCGCGCCUCCUGCACCCGUCAUCCCGCCCUGCACGCCCCCGCCACGUGGAUGAGCUCCCUGGGGAGUUAAUGGCUAAUGGAGUCUCCGCUCUCUCUUGUCAAAUGCAGCCAUCAUCCGCUGGUGCUUUAAGGGACUCUCUCCCGUCCCCACCCUAUUCUCAGGUGGCUCCUACCGACACCACCUAAUGGUGAACCCCAACACGAGGACACAGGCAGUGCCCUCUCAGGACCACUGUGGGUGCCACCAGGCACGACUUCCUAAACACCCACAGAGCAAAAACCUGGAAAUUCAGCCGAGGCACUGGGACCCCAACCUCUCCCAGAGUGGCCCCAGCUCCACGGCGUCUGCAUGGCUCUGGCCGUGAGCAGAGCAGCCCCGACCUCCGUCCUGACCCAGGGCGCCGGAGCGCCACUGCGGAUCUCACCACCACACAAGCCAGACCUGCUAGGAAGCCCUUCCCGGCCACCAGCUCUCGGGCGAUGCACACAACAGGGCCUUUUGAAUUCCCUGAGGUUAAGGUUCCCCUUGAGUCUCCUGGGCUACAAGCAAAUCCCCCGAGGGGAGAAGUCCAGGCUGACACAGCCUCCUGCACCCCUGCCUUGGGAGGCCACACCUCGUUUGCCUCUAGAACCGACGACUGGGGAGCACUGUUUGCAGAGUUCUCUCUCUCUGGAACGGUGAAGGAAUCUGAAGCCCAGAGAGGGAAAACAAUGCCUCCUGGGUCACACAGCCCAUCAGGGGCAGGGCAGGGACGAACGGCGAGAAAAGGACCAGCGCGAGAGGAGAUCCCCAGCAGUGAUUCCUCAGCCAAGCCCAGCGUCUACCCACAUCCACACCUCACAGCCACCUGAUGGGGAAGGCACCAUUGCCCCUUUUCAAAGGUGAGAAAACAGAGGCUCAGAGAGGUUCAGCAACUUCUCCCACAGCUACUUCGUUGUAGAACUGCAGUUCCAGGUGUCCCCGAGCUCUCCCUUCCCGAGCCAUCUGCUCCUGCCCUCCUAUCCGAGCCCUGGCCCUCCCAGUCAAAGCCGGGUAGUGGCUGUUCAGAAGCCUUGGGGCUAGUCAAUCCCAGCUGUCUCGGACCAGGGCCCCCCCCAGGAGGAGACCCUGAAGGAUGCAGUUGAGAAUAUGUGCUUUCUUUGGUAGGUGAUCUCAGGAAUUGCAGGGGAAAGAGGGGGAGCGUGUUAGUGUAGGCUCUCCGGAGAAGCAGAACCAACGCACAGAGGAGAUUUAGGAUGAGGAAUCUGGUUUAUGUGACUCUGGGGGCUGAGAAGGCCCACCAUCUGUGUUGCAAGCUGGAAACCCAGGGAAGCCUGAGGUGUGAUUCAAACUCAGCUCAGGUCUGGAGGCCUGAGAACCAGGGCAGCCGAUGGUGGACAUCCAGUCCAGGGGCAAGAGAUGACGAGAUGUCCCGGCUCCAGUGGCGAGGCAGGAAAUGAGGGGUGAACUCCUCCUCCCUCUGCUGUCUGUUCUAUUCAAGUUCUUGAGGGAUUGGAUUAUGCCCAGCCACUUGGGGAGGGCAGUCCACCUUCCUGAGUCCACAAUUCAAAUGCUGAUCUAAUCCAGAAACACUCUCACAGACACAGUGUGUAGUCUGGGCACCCCACAGUGCACUUAAGUGGACACAUAAAAUUAACCAUCCCAGGGAGUGAGAUGGGUAAGGGAAGAUGGGCCACAGUGGGUGUGUCUCCAUGCCUACCCCCACUGUGGGCAGCUGCUGGAGCACACGCCUCAAAGUCUUCCCUGAGGGAGAGGGAGCUGAGGUGUUUAUAUCCCAGCUCUGUCAGGCAUUGGCUGAAUGUCCACACUCCUGGAUCACCGCCUCUCAUCCUCAUGAUGUCCCAUGGUCCUCAUUUCACAAGUGAGCUCUGGGUACAUGGGGAGCAUCAGUCACACCCUGGGUCAGUACCUCAGCUGUCUCUCACAUGACAUCCUCAUUAUCCACACUGCAAAGCCAACCAUCCCUAUGAUGGGUUCAUUGUGGAUCAUGACUUAGUGGGUCAAGAGUUUGGAAGUGGCUCAGCUGGGCGGUUCUUCUGCUCCAUGUGGCUGCCAGAUGGUACCCUGCUGGUGGGCAGUCUGGUCUAGAGGGUCCAUGAUGGCUUUACUCACAUGCCUGGCAUCUUGACAGGGACAGCUGGAAGGCAAGGUUCAGCUGGGACUGUCCACAGAGCUCCUCCCUGUGGCCUUUCCAGCAUGGUGGUCUCAGGGUAGCUGGACUUCCUGCAUGACAGCUCAGGGCUCCCAGAGCUACUGUCCCAAGAGAUAGAAGGUGGAAACUGCCAGUCUCUUAGGCUAGGACCAGAAACCAGCACCCCUGCACCCACAGCCUUUUGGUAGUGAUGAAAUAAACAUAAGAUUUAUCAUUUUAAUCAUUCGUAAGUGGGAUUAAAUACAUUUACAAUAUUGUGUAACCAUCGGCACUGUCUAUAUCUAAAACUUUUUCAUCAUCUGCAAUAAAAACUCUGUAUGCAUUAAA